RNAcentral lists this ribosomal RNA (591 nucleotides) under Hanseniaspora uvarum. RNAcentral describes it as "LSU rRNA". It matches the Rfam family "Eukaryotic large subunit ribosomal RNA", at positions 53 to 658 of the family's 3401-position model. Lineage: Eukaryota; Fungi; Ascomycota; Saccharomycetes; Saccharomycodales; Saccharomycodaceae. The record is from RNAcentral.
GAGGAAAAGAAACCAACUGGGAUUACCUUAGUAACGGCGAGUGAAGCGGUAAAAGCUCAAAUUUGAAAUCUGGUACUUUCAGUGCCCGAGUUGUAAUUUGUAGAAUUUGUCUUUGAUUAGGUCCUUGUCUAUGUUCCUUGGAACAGGACGUCAUAGAGGGUGAGAAUCCCGUUUGGCGAGGAUACCUUUUCUCUGUAAGACUUUUUCGAAGAGUCGAGUUGUUUGGGAAUGCAGCUCAAAGUGGGUGGUAAAUUCCAUCUAAAGCUAAAUAUUGGCGAGAGACCGAUAGCGAACAAGUACAGUGAUGGAAAGAUGAAAAGAACUUUGAAAAGAGAGUGAAAAAGUACGUGAAAUUGUUGAAAGGGAAGGGCAUUUGAUCAGACAUGGUGUUUUUUGCAUGCACUCGCCUCUCGUGGGCUUGGGCCUCUCAAAAAUUUCACUGGGCCAACAUCAAUUCUGGCAGCAGGAUAAAUCAUUAAGAAUGUAGCUACUUCGGUAGUGUUAUAGCUUUUUGGAAUACUGUUAGCCGGGAUUGAGGACUGCGCUUCGGCAAGGAUGUUGGCAUAAUGGUUAAAUGCCGCCCGUCUUGAA